Molecule: ribosomal RNA, 370 nt
Filed under: uncultured organism
Description: bacterial SSU rRNA
Rfam family: Bacterial small subunit ribosomal RNA
Source: RNAcentral
CGUAGGGUGCGAGCGUUAAUCGGAAUUACUGGGCGUAAAGCGUGCGCAGGCGGUUAUAUAAGACAGAUGUGAAAUCCCCGGGCUCAACCUGGGAAUUGCAUUUGUGACUGUAUAGCUAGAGUACGGCAGAGGGGGAUGGAAUUCCGCGUGUAGCAGUGAAAUGCGUAGAUAUGCGGAGGAACACCGAUGGCGAAGGCAAUCCCCUGGGCCUGUACUGACGCUCAUGCACGAAAGCGUGGGGAGCAAACAGGAUUAGAUACCCUGGUAGUCCACGCCCUAAACGAUGUCAACUGGUUGUUGGGUCUUCACUGACUCAGUAACGAAGCUAACGCGUGAAGUUGACCGCCUGGGGAGUACGGCCGCAAGGUUG